GAGCCGGCGCAUCAGAUGCUUUCCUGUUCCGUGAUGUGAAAGCCCCGAGACGAAAAGGAACAAAAAAUAAAAGCCUCGCCUGGCAAACCCAAGCUGUAGUGUUAAAACCCCAACCAAUUCUCAUGACUUCCACAGGACCCAUAAUUCUUUCCCAGGGUUUUCACUUCCGAGCCUGCUUUGAAGAAAGAAGAAAUCUUUUUCUGAACAACUAAGGAAACCUCUAAAACAAAUCAAAGCUGUGGGCAGUGAGCACAGAGAACUCAUUAA
Long non-coding RNA from Melospiza georgiana, 267 nucleotides. RefSeq lists it as uncharacterized. NCBI's taxonomy places the organism in Eukaryota, Metazoa, Chordata, Aves, Passeriformes, Passerellidae. The transcript has 3 exons. The record is from RefSeq and is a predicted model, not a curated record.